RNAcentral lists this long non-coding RNA (250 nucleotides) under Carica papaya (papaya). RNAcentral describes it as "long non-coding RNA (CPAP_LNC013311)". The record is from RNAcentral. Lineage: Eukaryota; Viridiplantae; Streptophyta; Magnoliopsida; Brassicales; Caricaceae.
AGGAUAUCCAGUAAGGCAGUCAUUUCAUCCAUUCACUUAAUCACACAAUUUUCCAUUUUCCUUUAGUCUCCAUUUUCCAGAUCAGUCGUGAUCAGAUAAACAAACAAACAUGCAUCAGGGAAUGCAAUCAUAUCUCAGUUUCUCAAUUUAACAGUAGUCAAAUAAGGUAGCAAUACAUGCAUUCAAACAAUAAAAUUGAUAAAUCAGACACUAUCAUGCAUUUAAACUGUAAAAUAAAUCAACAGAGAAU